CAAGCGUGAGGUAAGGGCAAUUGGUGGAUGCCUUGGCAUACACAGGCGAUGAAGGACGUGGCACGCUGCGAUAAGCGUCGGUGAGUUGUGAGCAAACUUUGACCCGACGAUUUCCGAAUGGGGAAACCCAGCUUCACUAUUAAAUUUCGUUACUGAGUAAUCAGUGCCGGAGUUUAAUAGGGAGGUUAUCACUUUGCUGAAUAAAAUAGGCUUAGUGAAGCGAACCCGGGGAACUGAAACAUCUCAGUACCCGGAGGAAAAGACAUCAACCGAGAUUCCGUUAGUAGUGGCGAGCGAACGCGGACCAGGCCAGUGCCUGAUGAUUAGUUAGCAGAACAGUUUGGAAAGACUGGCCAUAGCGGGUGACAGCCCCGUAUGCGAAAACAACUCAUCAGGACUUGAGUAGGGCGGGACACGUGUAAUCCUGUCUGAAUAUAGGGGGACCACCCUCUAAGCCUAAAUACUCGUGUAUGACCGAUAGUGAACUAGUACCGUGAGGGAAAGGUGAAAAGCACCCCGAUGAGGGGAGUGAAACAGUACCUGAAACCGGUUGCCUACAAGCAGUGGGAGCAUCCUUGAGAUGUGACCGCGUACCUCUUGCAUAAUGGGUCAGUGACUUAAUGUAUCAAGCAAGCUUAAGCCGAUAGGUGUAGGCGCAGCGAAAGCGAGUCUGAAUAGGGCGACUUAGUUUGAUGCAUUAGACCCGAAACCCGGCGAUCUAGGCAUGACCAGGGUGAAGGUGCGGUAACACGCACUGGAGGCCCGAACCGAUUAACGUUGAAAAGUUACCGGAUGAGUUGUGUUUAGGGGUGAAAGGCCAAUCAAGCCGGGAAAUAGCUGGUUCUCCGCGAAAACUAUUGAGGUAGUGCCUCGGAUGUUUUCCUCAGGGGGUAGAGCACUGGAUGGGCUAGGGGGUCGCGAGAUCUACCAAACCUAACCAAACUCCGAAUACCUGAGAGUAUAGUCCGGGAGACAGACGGCGGGUGCUAAGGUCCGUCGUCAAAAGGGAAACAGCCCUAACCUACAGCUAAGGUCCCCAAGUCAUCACUAAGUGGGAAAGCAUGUGGGACUUCCAAAACAACCAGGAGGUUGGCUUAGAAGCAGCCAUCCUUUAAAGAAAGCGUAACAGCUCACUGGUCUAAUUAAGAGGUCCUGCGGCGAAGAUGUAACGGGGCUAAAGUGAUGCACCGAAGCUUAGGGUUCAGUAUUUAUACUGAGCGGUAGCGGAGCGUUCCGUAAGCCGUUGAAGCCAUCUGGUAAUGGGUGGUGGAGGUAUCGGAAGUGCGAAUGCUGACAUGAGUAGCGAUAAAGAGGGUGAGAUGCCCUCUCGCCGAAAGACCAAGGGUUCCUGCGCAAGGCUAAUCCGCGCAGGGUGAGUCGGCCCCUAAGACGAGCCCGAAGGGGGUAGUCGAUGGGAACACGGUUAAUAUUCCGUGACCUGGUGGUGUGUGACGGAUCUCGUAAGUCGUCAGUCCUUAUUGGAUUGGUAUUGGCGGCGAAGAGGUUCCAGGAAAUAGCCCCACCGUAUAGACCGUACCCGAAACCGACACAGGUGGUCAGGUAGAGUAUACCAAGGCGCUUGAGAGAAGUCUCCUGAAGGAACUCGGCAAAUUGCCUCCGUACCUUCGGAAGAAGGAGGCCCCACAUCAAGGCAACUUUUUGUGGGGGGCACAGGCCAGGGGGUAGCGACUGUUUAGCAAAAACACAGGGCUCUGCUAAGUCGGCUUCAAGACGACGUAUAGGGUCUGACGCCUGCCCGGUGCCUGAAGGUUAAGAGGAGGUGUGCAAGCACCGAAUUGAAGCCCAGGUAAACGGCGGCCGUAACUAUAACGGUCCUAAGGUAGCGAAAUUCCUUGUCGGGU
RNAcentral lists this ribosomal RNA (1862 nucleotides) under metagenomes. Its description in RNAcentral is "bacterial LSU rRNA". It matches the Rfam family "Bacterial large subunit ribosomal RNA", at positions 1 to 1977 of the family's 2925-position model. The record is from RNAcentral.